GACGAACGCUGGCGGCGUGCUUAACACAUGCAAGUCGAACGCUGAAGCUCAGCUUUUGUUGGGUGGAUGAGUGGCGAACGGGUGAGUAACACGUGAGUAACCUGCCUCCUUCUUUGGGAUAACGCCCGGAAACGGGUGCUAAUACUGGAUAUUCACUGGUCUUCGCAUGGGGGUUGGUGGAAAGGGUUUUUCUGGUGGGGGAUGGGCUCGCGGCCUAUCAGCUUGUUGGUGGGGUGAUGGCCUACCAAGGCUUUGACGGGUAGCCGGCCUGAGAGGGUGACCGGGCACAUUGGGACUGAGAUACGGCCCAGACUCCUACGGGAGGCAGCAGUGGGGAAUAAUGCACAAUGGGCGCAAGCCUGAUGCAGCGACGCCGCGUGAGGGAUGGAGGCCUUCGGGUUGUGAACCUCGUUCGCUAAUGGUCAAGCCGCAACAAUGGUUGUGGUGAGGGUAGUGGGUAAAGAAGCGCCGGCUAACUACGUG
Molecule: ribosomal RNA, 483 nt
Filed under: uncultured bacterium
Lineage: Bacteria
Description: partial 16S ribosomal RNA
Rfam family: Bacterial small subunit ribosomal RNA
Source: RNAcentral